This 406-nucleotide long non-coding RNA is filed under the name Monodelphis domestica (gray short-tailed opossum). RNAcentral describes it as "lncRNA (ENSMODG00000050437.1)". The record is from RNAcentral. Lineage: Eukaryota; Metazoa; Chordata; Mammalia; Didelphimorphia; Didelphidae.
CCUGGAACUUGAGCCUGGAGUUGCUCCCUCAGAUAGCUUCCUUGAGACGGUCACAUGAUUCUUACCAUUUUAUGAGGUAAUACCCCUCAUAAUCCUUCACAAUCCUCCAUAAGAUUUUGCAAAUGAGUUUAUAUUCUAAGUCAGUAUUGCCCUCGGCUGCCAGAUCGCUAUGCUUGGCAAAUUUUCACAAACCAAACCUUAAUGUCAUAUUAUCAGAUUUUGCCAGGAAUACUUCAAGACAACUAGUCCAGAAAAAUGCAUAUAAUAUCCAUGGAUUAAUCUGUCAAAGCAUUUAAAGUAUUGGUCUAGAUUCAAUUACAAAGUGUUUAUUAAAGAAAUUCAAAACAUGCUAGAGGAAUAUUCAAUGACCAUGGAUAGGUCACAUCAAUGUAAUAAAAAUAACAAU